AUGCAUCGUGGUAAGAUCAGUCAUUUGGAAAACAGUCCAGGGACAACCAGUAAUAACCUGGUGCAACUCAGAAGACAGACGACACUGCAGCCUUAUUUCUGCUCACAGGGGACCCGCGGGACUGUCCUCCCGGUGAGGCCACAGGGAUCCACGGACUGUCUUCCUACUGAGGCCCCUGUGGGUCCAAGCGGGUCACCGGCCCCUCCCUCCAGCAGAUGCCACAACAUAUCUGCUGUGUGUGACACAGCCUGGCAGGUGCUUUCCGGAAAUGGUUCAUUCACAACCAUUUGGCUGGCCUGGCACAUCCUGGGAUGCAGGUGCACAUUUACAGGGAGAGGCAGGUGCCGCCAGGAGCCACCGGCAGGAAUCAGGAAACACUCCCCCGGUUCUCGUCUCCCUGUAAUAAGUCACAGCCCUCGUGAAGGAGCCGGACCCGGGCCUCAGGCUCGCCCCUUCACGUCUGUUUGCAGGCCCCCAGGAACCAGACGACCUUCCGUCUUCUCUGGUGCUGGCUGCUCAGUGGCCCGGCGCACGGCCUCCUCUGACGGUGACAAUUACAGGAUGCUUUGAUACGUGGGGGCCUCCCUGAUGUCACGGGGACUGCGUCCCCUAGGGUGGUGACGACACCCCACCCACCCGCCUGCUUUCUCCGGCUCUCAGCCAUGGGGCUCUGACCCCCGGGGCAGCCCCUGUACCAGAGGAACUGAAAUUACUCAGACCUGCCAGUCCCCGGUAUGGUCAGCUGUCCCCUUGCCGGCUCAGUCCUUCCUAUGAAAACCACAGUAAGGCUUCCCCCCUCACUUCUUCUGCCCCUGACCGACCCUGGGGCCUCCAGGGGGGUGGCCCCGUGGGACCUGCCCUGCCUCCUGUGUCCAGGAAUCUGCGACCUUCAGCUGCUUCCUUCACGACGAUCGCUUCGUGCCUGCGUGUCUCACGAGGCCUGCGUCCAGCAGAUCCCAGGCAUACACCCUCCGCUCAGUUGCGUACCUCCAUUUUCAGAAGAACCAACAGUUCUUUCAGCCCGGUUGAAAACUAACAAAUAAAAAACCAAAGACCAAAGUCGCCUAAAAACA
Molecule: long non-coding RNA, 1073 nt
Filed under: Felis catus (domestic cat)
Lineage: Eukaryota; Metazoa; Chordata; Mammalia; Carnivora; Felidae
Description: lncRNA (ENSFCAG00000051700.1)
Source: RNAcentral